GGGGAACCGCCUGAACUGAAACAUCUAAGUAGGGCGAGGAAGAGACAUCAAACGAGAUUCCGUAAGUAGUGGCGAGCGAACGCGGAAGAGGGCAAACCGGAAGUAGAAAUACUUCCGGGGUACGGACUGCUUUUAGGACUUAAUCUGUUAACCGAACGGCAUGGGAAGGCCGGUCAGAGAGUGUGAGAACCACGUAGGUGAAAACGGAGAGAGCUGCGCAGGAUCCAGAGUACGGCCAGACACGUGAAACCUGGUCGGAAUACGGGGGGACCACCCUCCAACCCUAAAUACUACCCAGUGACCGAUAGCGUAUAGUACUGUGAAGGAAAGGUGAAAAGCACCCCGGGAGGGGAGUGAAAAAGAACCUGAAACCCUGUGCCUACAAGCACCUAGAGCACGUCAAUGUGUGAUAGGGUACUUUUUGUAGAACGGUCCGGCGAGCGAUUGUAUGCAGCAAGGUUAAGGACUUAAGGUCUGGAGCCGAAGCGAAAGCGAGUUUGAAAAGGGCGUUAAGUUGCAUAUAAUGGGCCCGAAACCGGGUGACCUACCCAUGGUCAGGUUGAAGUGGAAGUAAAAUUCCAUGGAGGACCGAACCGACCUCCGUUGAAAAGGCGGCGGAUGAACUGUGGGUAGCGGAGAAAUUCCAAUCGAACCCGGAGAUAGCUGGUUCUCCCCGAAAUAGUUUUAGGACUAGCCUCAAGUUAGAUACCUGGAGGUAAAGCACUGAAUAGCCUAGCGGCCGAGAGGUUAGCGAAGCUUAUCAAACUCAGAAUGCCAGAGUAUUGAUGCUUGGGAGUCAGACAGUGUCAGAUAAAUGUCAUUGUCAAAAGGGAAACAGCCCAGAUCUACAGCUAAGGUCCCAAAGUCAGGUUAAGUGGAAAACGAUGUGAAGAUACGCAGACAACCAGGAUGUUGGCUCAGAAGCAGCCACUCAUUCAAAGAGUGCGUAAUAGCUCACUGGUCGAGCGUCUUUGCGCGGAGAAUUUAACGGGGCUAAACCUGACACCGAAGCUUAGGCAAUACAGCAAUGUAUUGGGUAGGGGAGCGUUGUAUACGCGGUGAAACAGUAGCGCAAGCGGCUGUGGAGUGUAUAGAAGUGAGAAUGCCGGAAUGAGUAGCGCGAAUGCAGUGAGAAUCUGCAUGGCCGAAAGCCUCAGGUUUCUGGAGGAAGGUUCGUCCGCUCCAGGUUAGUCGGGAGCUAAGGUGAGGCCGGAAGGCGUAGCCGAUGCACAGACGGUAGAGAUUCCGUCACCACCAAAAGAGUUAAGCACAGGGACACAUUUGAAGUCUCAGAGCCGGGUGUUGGUUCCGGUAGAGAUCGAGGGAAGUUAGUACCGAAGUCUGAGAUGGAAGAUGGCGAGAAAAGCUGUGUGUAUUUCUGAGGUGCCCGUACCGCAAACCGACACAGGUAGGUAGGAAGAAGAUUCUAAGGCCAACGGGAGAAGGGUUGUUAAGGAACUCGGCAAAUUGACCCCGUAACUUCGGGAGAAGGGGUGCUCCAGAGAUGGAGCCGCAGAGAAUCGGCCCAAGCAACUGUUUACCAAAAACACAGGUUUGUGCUAAAUCGAAAGAUGACGUAUACGAGCUGACGCCUGCCCGGUGCUGGAAGGUUAAGAGGAGAUGUGCAAGCAUUGAAUCGAAGCCCCAGUGAACGGCGGCCGUAACUAUAACGGUCCUAAGGUAGCGAAAUUCCUUGUCAGGUAAGUUCUGACCCGCA
This 1717-nucleotide ribosomal RNA is filed under the name human gut metagenome. Its description in RNAcentral is "bacterial LSU rRNA". It matches the Rfam family "Bacterial large subunit ribosomal RNA", at positions 178 to 1992 of the family's 2925-position model. The record is from RNAcentral.